RNAcentral lists this long non-coding RNA (411 nucleotides) under Panax ginseng (ginseng). RNAcentral's name for it is "long non-coding RNA (PGIN_LNC008927)". The record is from RNAcentral. Lineage: Eukaryota; Viridiplantae; Streptophyta; Magnoliopsida; Apiales; Araliaceae.
UAAUCUUUAACACCGCUCGUUUAUAAGCUGAACGAAUUAUUUUAUACUCUGCUCCUUUGGUCCAUCCCAAGUUUGAGGACUAGUAUAACAUUCCAUACACAUUUUAGCUUCAACAGGCGCUUUAUAAUAAGAACUGACUUUGAGCACCACCAGAUAAAGUACAAUCCAAUCUAGAUUGUAGAGCCUAAAACUCAUGACAAAAUAAAUUUGUCCCACCACCCCGUAUUACCGAGUUUCAUUUCAAAUGCAACGUUCUAAUUCACAUAUAUAUACAUAAUACAAGUCAACAACUUCAUUUUGUCGAUUAAUUUACAGGUAUUUCCUUUCUUUAAUUUUUAGUUCUUUGUAAGUUUCAUACUAUUGCAUUAGCUGUGAAUAAUGAUACUUCUCAUAAGUAGAAAACUACUGGGU